This 293-nucleotide ribosomal RNA is filed under the name uncultured eukaryote. RNAcentral's name for it is "partial 18S ribosomal RNA". It matches the Rfam family "Eukaryotic small subunit ribosomal RNA", at positions 6 to 306 of the family's 1831-position model. The record is from RNAcentral.
GGUUGAUCCUGCCAGUAGUCAUAUGCUUGUCUUAAAGAUUAAGCCAUGCACGUCUAAGUAUAAAUAGUAUACAGUGAAACUGCGAAUGGCUCAUUAAAACAGUUAUAGUUUAUGUGAUAAUACAAACUACAUGGAUAACCGUAGUAAUUCUAGAGCUAAUACAUGCUAUCAAACCCAACUUUUCGGAAGGGUUGUAUUUAUUAGAUCCCAAACCAAUGUUCCUUCGGGUUCAUUGUGAUGAUUCAUAAUAACUUAGCGGAUCGGAGCUCGCCUCCGACGCAUCAUUCAAGUUU